GAUAGAACGCUGGCGGCGUGCCUAACACAUGCAAGUCGAGCGAUUCUCCUCGGAGAAGAGCGGCGGACGGGUGAGUAACGCGUGGGUAACCUGCCCUGUAACACACGGAUAACAUACCGAAAGGUAUGCUAAUACGAGAUAAUAUGCUUUUAUCCCGCAUGGUAGAAGUAUCAAAGCUCCGGCGGUACAGGAUGGACCCGCGUCUGAUUAGCUAGUUGGUAAGGUAACGGCUUACCAAGGCGACGAUCAGUAGCCGACCUGAGAGGGUGAUCGGCCACAUUGGAACUGAGACACGGUCCAAACUCCUACGGGAGGCAGCAGUGGGGAAUAUUGCACAAUGGGCGAAAGCCUGAUGCAGCAACGCCGCGUGAGCGAUGAAGGCCUUCGGGUCGUAAAGCUCUGUCCUCAAGGAAGAUAAUGACGGUACUUGAGGAGGAAGCCCCGGCUAACUACGUG
Molecule: ribosomal RNA, 456 nt
Filed under: uncultured bacterium
Lineage: Bacteria
Description: bacterial SSU rRNA
Rfam family: Bacterial small subunit ribosomal RNA
Source: RNAcentral